AUGAACGCUGGCGGCGUGCCUAAUACAUGCAAGUCGAGCGAACAGACGAGGAGCUUGCUCCUCUGACGUUAGCGGCGGACGGGUGAGUAACACGUGGAUAACCUACCUAUAAGACUGGGAUAACUUCGGGAAACCGGAGCUAAUACCGGAUAAUAUAUUGAACCGCAUGGUUCAAUAGUGAAAGACGGUUUUGCUGUCACUUAUAGAUGGAUCCGCGCCGCAUUAGCUAGUUGGUAAGGUAACGGCUUACCAAGGCAACGAUGCGUAGCCGACCUGAGACGGUGAUCGGCCACACUGGAACUGAGACACGGUCCAGACUCCUACGGGAGGCAGCAGUAGGGAAUCUUCCGCAAUGGGCGAAAGCCUGACGGAGCAACGCCGCGUGAGUGAUGAAGGUCUUCGGAUCGUAAAACUCUGUUAUUAGGGAAGAACAAAUGUGUAAGUAACUAUGCACGUCUUGACGGUACCUAAUCAGAAAGCCACGGCUAACUACGUG
Molecule: ribosomal RNA, 496 nt
Filed under: uncultured bacterium
Lineage: Bacteria
Description: partial 16S ribosomal RNA
Rfam family: Bacterial small subunit ribosomal RNA
Source: RNAcentral